CACAAACAUAAUUAACUCGGAGCU
This 24-nucleotide non-coding RNA is filed under the name Arabidopsis thaliana (thale cress). The record is from RNAcentral. Lineage: Eukaryota; Viridiplantae; Streptophyta; Magnoliopsida; Brassicales; Brassicaceae.